UCAGUUGGAGUAGACACACUGAGAAGAUCCAACAAGAACUCGCACCCUUUGAACCAAAAUUCACAGACGACAUGACGGAGGAGGAAAAAAUUAAAGUGCUCGUGUCUUAUUCCUGCUAUGGUUCCACACAUUAUGAUCAGGUCGCUCGUCCUCUGCCAGACACUUACAUCUGGUAUCGUUGUGGGCAGGGCGGUCACCACAUCAGGGACUGUCCCACCAAACAGGAUGAAAGUUUCAGGCCUGUGAAGAGGAUCAAGAGGAGCUCAGGGAUCCCUCGAUCCUUC
This is a long non-coding RNA of Thalassophryne amazonica, 284 nucleotides long. RefSeq lists it as uncharacterized. The record is from RefSeq and is a predicted model, not a curated record. The transcript is spliced from 4 exons. Lineage: Eukaryota; Metazoa; Chordata; Actinopteri; Batrachoidiformes; Batrachoididae.